This 449-nucleotide ribosomal RNA is filed under the name Bacillus sp. (in: firmicutes). RNAcentral's name for it is "bacterial SSU rRNA". It matches the Rfam family "Bacterial small subunit ribosomal RNA", at positions 61 to 490 of the family's 1533-position model. The record is from RNAcentral. Lineage: Bacteria; Bacillati; Bacillota; Bacilli; Caryophanales; Bacillaceae.
GUCGAGCGAAUGGAUUAAGAGCUUGCUCUUAUGAAGUUAGCGGCGGACGGGUGAGUAACACGUGGGUAACCUGCCCAUAAGACUGGGAUAACUCCGGGAAACCGGGGCUAAUACCGGAUAACAUUUUGAACCGCAUGGUUCGAAAUUGAAAGGCGGCUUCGGCUGUCACUUAUGGAUGGACCCGCGUCGCAUUAGCUAGUUGGUGAGGUAACGGCUCACCAAGGCAACGAUGCGUAGCCGACCUGAGAGGGUGAUCGGCCACACUGGGACUGAGACACGGCCCAGACUCCUACGGGAGGCAGCAGUAGGGAAUCUUCCGCAAUGGACGAAAGUCUGACGGAGCAACGCCGCGUGAGUGAUGAAGGCUUUCGGGUCGUAAAACUCUGUUGUUAGGGAAGAACAAGUGCUAGUUGAAUAAGCUGGCACCUUGACGGUACCUAACCAGAAAG